UAUAAAUCUUAGACAACAGAAGUUUUCUGAGACCAAACUAGAACAGGAAGAAUGAGCCUGAGCCAACAUGCCGAAGCAGUAGGGGAGGAGAAUGCUGUCACUUAAGCAACCUGUCAGCUGCAUGGAAUGCAGAAGAAGAGGAG
This is a long non-coding RNA of Talpa occidentalis (Iberian mole), 143 nucleotides long. RefSeq lists it as uncharacterized. The transcript is spliced from 3 exons. The record is from RefSeq and is a predicted model, not a curated record. NCBI's taxonomy places the organism in Eukaryota, Metazoa, Chordata, Mammalia, Eulipotyphla, Talpidae.